Molecule: long non-coding RNA, 753 nt
Filed under: Equus asinus (donkey)
Lineage: Eukaryota; Metazoa; Chordata; Mammalia; Perissodactyla; Equidae
Description: lncRNA (ENSEASG00005027438.1)
Source: RNAcentral
AUACUGAUCCCCACCUUCUGGGUGCUGGGAGGCCUCAGGAUGGCUGCUCUCCCCUCCGCCCCCUUCCCCAAUCCUAGAACCUCCAGCAGUGCAGCAUCUAGAGAUCAGAGGAGGAAGCUCAAGAUCUGGGCAGGAUGGGACCCCGCGGGCCUGGGAGAUGAUUGUCCGGAGCAGCCUGAGGAUCACCCGGCUGGCCCGUCGGGGAGGGAAAGAGGCCCUAGACAGGCUGCUCCUUCAGCCCAGCUGCCAGCAUGAAGAAGACAUGCAGAGCAGAGACAUGACCACUGGCCUGCGAAUAAGAGGACCUCUGGGCCGUUGUUGAAGAGUUGUGGCAAUAACAGACACCUUGUCCCAUUUCUCGUCUUAAAGGAAUGCUUUCAAUGCUUCACCUUUAAGUAUGAUAUUUGGUGUCAGCUUUUUGUAGAUGUCCUUUGUCAGAGAGGAGCAUCAGCACGGGGCAGGGCGCACAGCAGAGCUCCCCAAGCGACUGCCUUUGCCAAUCCUUGAGCCUGACACCUAGUGGCUAAAGCAGGGAAUGCAGGCUACUUUUCAAAAGAGCUCCAAGGCAGAAUCUCAGAAUCUCUUACCACACUGCCUCAGGUGAGGCCGAAGGCCCGCGGCUCCCCAGCCUACCUGUUCCCACUUUCCAGAAGGGAAAGGCGGUUCAUCAAGCUUUGUGAUAUCAAAAAACUGGAGAGAAACAAUGAUUAUUGAUACAUGUGAAUAUACUAAAAACCAUUGAAUUACACACUU